UCAAUGCUCAGUCUAGAGCAGUGGUCUCCAAACUUUUUGGCUCGCGCACCCCCAGUGUGAAGACCGGAAGACCAGCCGCAGGUGCGCCGCCAAUGGAAGAACGACAGAAGACUUACCGCAGGCGGGCUGCCGGAGGGGAACACCAGCCGUGGACGUGCAGAGCUGCCACCGAAGAAAAAAAAUGGCGGAGUGCCGUCCAGCAGCACUCCUGCUGCCGUGCACCCCCGGGGAU
Long non-coding RNA from Chelonia mydas (Green sea turtle), 232 nucleotides. RefSeq lists it as uncharacterized. Lineage: Eukaryota; Metazoa; Chordata; Testudines; Cheloniidae. The record is from RefSeq and is a predicted model, not a curated record. The transcript is spliced from 3 exons.